Molecule: non-coding RNA, 717 nt
Organism: Globicephala melas (long-finned pilot whale)
Lineage: Eukaryota; Metazoa; Chordata; Mammalia; Artiodactyla; Delphinidae
Source: the annotation of a RefSeq genome assembly
UUUCUGGGCUUCAUGAAUCCCAUCUGCAAGAAGAUGAAUCCACUGUGGUUCUUCCUCUUCCUGGUGUCAGCUCCCAGAGGUGUCCUGUCCCAGGUGCAGCUGCAGGAGUCGGGACCCAGGCUGGUGAAGCCCUCACAGACCCUCUCCCUCACCUGCACUGUCUCUGGAUUCUCAUUGACCAGCAGUGUUGUAGCCUGGGUCCGACAGCCUCCAGGAAAGGGGCUGGAGUGGGUUGGGGGGAUAUAUGGUGGUGGUGGAAGCACAGAUUAUAACCCAACUCUUAAGUCCCGGCUCAGCAUCACCACGGACACCUCCAAGAGCCAAGUCUACUUAUCGCUGAGCAGCCUGACAACUGAGGACACAGCCGUGUAUUACUGUGCGAGAGACACAGUGAGGGGAAGUGUGCAGUGUGAGGUGCAGCUGGUGGAGUCUGGGGGAGGCCUGGUGAAGCCUGGGGCGUCUCUGAGACUUUCCUGUGCAGCCUCUGGAUUUACUUUUGAUGAUUAUGCCAUGAGCUGUGUCCGCCAGGCUCCAGGGAAGGGGCUGGAGUGGAUCUCAGUUAUUAGUUGGAGUGGUGGUAGCACAAACUAUGCAGACUCUGUGAAGGGCCGAUUCACCAUCUCCAGAGACAACUCCAAGAACACGCUGUAUCUGCAAAUGAACAGCCUGAGAUCUGAGGACACGGCCGUGUAUUACUGUGCGAAAGAUACACAGUGA